RNAcentral lists this long non-coding RNA (2299 nucleotides) under Mytilus galloprovincialis (Mediterranean mussel). The record is from RNAcentral. Lineage: Eukaryota; Metazoa; Mollusca; Bivalvia; Mytilida; Mytilidae.
GAGCAAUUAGAUUACCAGAAAAUGUGCUGUAAUUAUUUGUGCUACCAUGAACAGUAUAAGUGGAAUGAGACUUUACAGCUAUUUGAUCCCCUUUCUGUACAUCCAAUAUCAUACUGAGUGUUCCUUGUUGGUAAGUAGAACCUUUAAUGUACACACUGGAGACUAUGGUGUCAUUGAGACAAAGAGAUGCAACCAAAUAUUGUCCUUUAUCACUCAUCACCACUGAAGAAAAUUGAUAUACUCCUGCAGUAGGUACAGUAUAUAUACCAGUGCUUGGGUUGUAGCCGUUUUGUUUGUUAGUAAAAACUUUGUCGAAUUUUAUUAUCUCUUUUUUUGAGAGUGAUUGAGACUUUGUUGAGGCAGCUGAAAAGGCGGGAAGUUUCUUCCCAUUGAACAAUGCACAACCUUUAUAUACAAAAAAUAUACAUAUGUUAAUUAUAUAUUAAUUCGAGUAAUGAUCAAGUUACCGAUAAUCUACAUGGUAAAUGUAAGCUAUUUUGUAUGUUUAAAGUUUACUGGUAUGUGUUCAGAACUACUUUUGAUAAAAGUUUUUACUUUACUAUUGAUAUUUGGUUUGCUGUUGCAUUUGAAUUCCUUCAGUUUUUUUAUAGCAGAAAUGUAAGAAUUUUUAUUAUAGAUAGAUUUUCCAUCUCCUGAAAGGGACCAUCAUAUUUACAUAUUUUGUUAAAUUUGAAUAGAAGUAUGUCAUUCACAUGGUAAAUUUUGACAAUACCAGAAUUAGAAGUCCGUGAAAAUCAAAGUAACAGCUACAAAAAGCUGUUAAUGUCGCUCACUUCUAGACAAUUAAUCUGAGUAAAACAGACGUCAUACACCUUAUCGCUAAUCCCGGCUGACCGGGCCGCUUGAACUUUUGACGCAUACAACUAUCACUUUUCCAUUGUGGCGUCAGAUAUUUUGCUUUAUGGCGUCAAAAUUAUGUAUUAUGCCCCAACCUAUGUACGAUAGUAAGAAGUAUGACGUAAAACGUAAAAUAACGAAAAUACCAAACUACAAGGAAAAUACAAAACGGAAAGUCCCUAAUCAAAUGACAAAACCAAAAGCUCAAACAUAUCAAAUGAAUGAUUAACAACUGUUAUGGAGACUUGGCUCAGUCAUUUUCUUAAAUAGGUCCAGUCUGCGUGUAGCCCAGUUCCCCUGUACAUCCUUUAUCACGUUAAAGUUGGAUAUGUUUAUUAUGUACGAACUUUGAAAUAUAUGCCAUGAAAAAAAAUUGAGCUGGAUUUCAUGAAGGAAUGAUAAGGUUAAAGAUUCGUUUUAAUUUAUUUUACCAUGCAGUCGUGUUCACUUAGAUUUUUAGAAUUAAACAAACUAAAUUUGUUAAUUCUUGUUUAAACUCUUUUUAAAAUAUAGUCCACUAUAAGGAUAUUAACAUAGAUUUUGUGGUUGACUGAACCAGGGAACAGUCAUACUGUGCGCUGAGCGGGGCAUGAUGUCUUAUGGACACUUAUUAAUUUAUUGUUCAAAGUAAUGUCGCUUUACUAAAGAACUGUUAAUGGUUAGAAUCUGUGUAAUUGAUCCGUAAAUUAAGAGUAUGUUAAAACAAGAUAAAAUUGAAAAUAAUAUAUUUCCGGGCAAUAGAACCUUAAAUGCAAAAACCACAGUUUCGUUUAAUACCAAAGACUGUGUUAAAAGGCAUAAAAUUCCUUAUUUGUAUUUGUGGCCCACAUAUGGUUUAUGUCAAUAUUGACGAAUCAUAGCAUAUUAACUUUGGGACUACAAUAGAUAGAUUGACAUUGAAAACAGCAAAAAUGAUCAGUACAAGAUCCACAAAUUUUGUGGUAUGACAAAAACUAUCAACUGACUCUGUCAAGAAGCUUUUGUUGAUACCGGGUAAAUAUAGUUUACAUGUGUUUUUCCUUAUAUCCUACAACUAUUUAUAGACAGAUAUACAAUGAAGGACACAUUAUCAUCAAGGUUAAAUAACCGACGAAGGCACAUAACUGUUACUGCCACUUAACUGUUACUUGGAGUUAUUUUCAUUAAAAGGCUUGUUUUUAUCCAGUAUUUGCAUGUUUGUUACAAAGAUCUCGAUUACUGAAACUGCUCAACCAACGUGGCUUAAAUGUUCCUUGGUGAAUACCUAUAUAAGUUUACAUUAAAUAAAGCAGUCCAUUAACCCAUUCAGCUGUCAUGACUAAAAAAAAAAGAACUUUGUGUAAAAUAAAAAUAAUUGUGUCAUAAAUUAAACACUGAAGUAGAAAAAAAUACCGGUAUUUGAAACUUACCUGAAUCUUUCUUUAUCAACAUUUCAACUAGAUCUUUGAGAAGAGAAUUCUCU